Molecule: small nuclear RNA, 188 nt
Organism: Pygocentrus nattereri (red-bellied piranha)
Lineage: Eukaryota; Metazoa; Chordata; Actinopteri; Characiformes; Serrasalmidae
Gene: U2
Rfam family: U2 spliceosomal RNA
About the family: U2 is a small nuclear RNA (snRNA) component of the spliceosome (involved in pre-mRNA splicing). Complementary binding between U2 snRNA (in an area lying towards the 5' end but 3' to hairpin I) and the branchpoint sequence (BPS) of the intron results the bulging out of an unpaired adenosine, on the BPS, which initiates a nucleophilic attack at the intronic 5' splice site, thus starting the first of two transesterification reactions that mediate splicing.
Source: Ensembl
AUCGCUUCUCUGCCUUUUGGCUAAGAUCAAGUGUAGUAUCUGUUAUCAGUUUAAUAUCUGAUACGUCCCCUACCCGGGGACCAUAUAUUAAAUAGAUUUUUGGAGCAGGGAGAUGGAAUAGGGGCUUGUUCCGUCCACUCCACGCAUCGACCUGCUAUUGCAGUAUCUCUGGGAGCGGUGCACCCCCU